UGAGGAGGAAGAUGAAGUUAUUGAUGACCAGGAAGAGGAUGAAGAAGAAACAGAUGAUAGUGACACUUGGGAACCUCCACGACAUGUGAAACGGAAGCUGUCUAAAUCAGAUGACUGAAAUGUAAGUUAAGAAAAUUUUUAAUCUGCGUAUAUGUUCAUCAACCACAUACAUUUUGAACAGUCACCUUGUUGUAUCAGUCAUCUUCAUUUUUGAUAUUUUCUGAAGUAGUUUUUCUUUUCCCUAAUAAGACUAGGUACCACUAGUAUAGCUAAGAGAUAAAUGAUUAUCAUGUGUAGUUUUAUUAUUAUUAUGUAGAGUUUAAUGUCUUAAUUAUUAUUUUUCAUAUGAAUUGGGUUUUUUUUACUUUGUUUUGAAGGAAAGUUACCCAAUCUCUAUGAAGGGAGACUGGCAGGCAGGUUGAGGGGAUUCACAAACAAAUACUAAAGAUAACUAAAAUGUAUUUUAUUGCAAUGCCCCCUUCACUAAAGCUUCAUUUUUUGCCUAUUUAAGGAAAUAAUUCAAAAAUGAAAACUAAAAAGAAGGGGAAAAGUACACCAAAGGAAAGACUUACCACAGGGUUGAGGAUUGUGCAGUUUUAGGAAACUAGGUGAAAAUGGGUAUCUUUUCAUCUUCAUUGCAUUGCUCCCAAAACUUUACUAGACUUUUAACUAGAGUUUAAAAUGCUUUAUGUAUUUAUGAAAUUACUCAGUAUCUUUUUAGUAAUUUAUAAAAUUACUCAAUAUCUUUUUCUGUUAAAAGUCAAAGGUCUGUUUUAGGCCAUAUAUAAAUUCAUGUUUGCUUAGGCGGCAUCUGUCUUUGAAAACUGUGAUAUAAAUUAUUUCUGUUUUAGAGAUCAAAAGGCAAAUAACAGAUUUGAUAUAAACCCAAUUGCUUAAAAUAUCUUUUCAUUCUUUGGUAUAAAACAAACCUGCUACCAGCACUAACAUUGUAUUUGAUUUAAAGUAUAUCUCUGUAGUCUUAAAAAUGCAAAUAAAUAUGGCUUAAAUUUGAAA
Molecule: long non-coding RNA, 1014 nt
Filed under: Homo sapiens (human)
Lineage: Eukaryota; Metazoa; Chordata; Mammalia; Primates; Hominidae
Description: non-protein coding lnc-C8orf76-1:4
Source: RNAcentral